Molecule: long non-coding RNA, 2728 nt
Filed under: Gossypium barbadense (sea-island cotton)
Lineage: Eukaryota; Viridiplantae; Streptophyta; Magnoliopsida; Malvales; Malvaceae
Description: long non-coding RNA (GBAR_LNC009695)
Source: RNAcentral
CCGAAUAUGAAGGCUUGAGAAGCCAUGGAAGAAGCUUCCAACUUUCAGCUAAUGCAUGGUAGGCAUUUCUAGUCCCGUUUUUAAUUAUUUUUAUAUUUUCGGGAUCGUUGUUGCUUAAUCUAUCUAAUGAGGGGACUAUUUUGCAAAACCAUUGAAUAGUUUGAUAUUUUCCAUUGAUGAGUAUAAUAGGGCUUUGAAGUUUAAUGGAAGAAUAUGAGUCCUUGUUGAUAGUUAAACACUUUUUAUUAAGUGGGUUUUUGUGAAAUUGACAAUUAAGGGCUAAAUUGAUAAAUGUGAAAACUUUGUGGUUAAAAUGUCAAAUAAAUGAAAUGUGUGGGCUGCUAGAGACACUAGUGAUAUUCGUCUAUAGUAUAAUUUUACUCAAUUUCAUGAAUUUGCAUUUUUAUGAUAUAGGGACUAUAUUGUAAAGAAGUUGAAAUAUUAGGGGCAAAACUAUAAUUUUUCCAUAAAGUGAAUUAUGGACUGUUUUGAUACCAUGAACAUUUGGCUAAGCUUAAUUAUGGUUAAAAAUGGUUAAUUUGCAUGUUUUGAGCUCAGGGACUAAAAUGAAUAAAAGUAAAACUUUAGGGGUAAUUUUGUAAAAAUGACAAAAAUGACCAAAUUGUAUGAAAUGAGGUGUUUUAAUGUCUAAAUUAAUAUACUGAAUGAAAUUAUUAAUUUAGAUCAAGAUCGGGUGGAAAAUCGAGAAAAUUGAGAAAAUUACCAAAAUGCCCCUGAACUUUGGUAUCUCUACAAUUUAGCCAGGUAAGUUUGUAUGCAAUAAGCAUUGUUAAAUUGAUGUUUCUAAUGCUUUAAUAUUGUAUAAAUUGUAUAUACGUGAAUAUUUUAAUGUCUGACGACAUAUCGACAAAAUGUGGCACUUAGUGUGCAGGGCAAUCAAAUAUGGUACUCAGUGUACGAAAUAUUGAGAAUGACACUUAGUGUGCAAAAUAUCGAAUGAUUCAAAGGGAAAUUAUAAAUUGUGAUUGAAUGAUUAAAUAGAGCAAAGUGAACAGGUAUACAUGCUAUAUUAUAUGAAUUGUUUAUGAGACGACUUUAUAAUGGUGAUAUUUGGGCUUUGAGCCCAGCAAGCUUUAAGCUGGUGAAUAAUAUUAUCGGGUUUAAAACCUAGCAGGCUAAAUGCCGGUGAUUUGAUAAAAGUCUAAGACUAUGAGACCUUGUGUUAAAUCGGCAAUUGAAUUUGUUCAAUGCAUUAAGUUGGCCAGGUAUGUGAUAUAUUCUUAUGCAUAUUAGAUCGAUUGGAAUUGAAUCAUGAGUGUGAAAUGAGAAGCAUAGGUGAAAAUGCCUAUGUCAUAUAUGUGAGUAAGGGCAAAACCAUCGUAAAUUAUCGAUAAGGGUGGACUAUGUGCGGAAUCAUCUUAUAAUUGCUAAUUUGAACGGUUGUAUGCGAAUCAUUGAGCAUGAUGUAUUAUAUUGAGAUUAUGCUUGAGUGAAAUUAUAGAUAUGUGAUGAAAUUGAUUGGUGAUAUACAUGUUUAAAAAAUGUGAAUGCAAAGAAUGUGUGAAAGAGUAAAUUUGUAAUAAAUCUACUUGGGACAGCAGCAGUAACGUGAUUUUGGAAAAUCACAAUAAAUUGUUGGAGUUGAAUUAGAAGCUGAAUAAAUUAUGUAAUUAAAGCUUAAUGAGUCUAGUUUCUUAUAAAAGAAACCAUGUAAGCAAAAGAAUUGCUAAUAAUGAGAUAUUUGAAGUGGCGUGGGAUAGAGUCAAAUGACUUCGAGGUCCCCUGUUCUGUUUUUAGAAAAUCAUUAUAAUUUGUACAAAAAUGGUUAUAAGAUAAAAUUUAUAUGCUUAAUGAGUCUAGUUUCAAAUGAAAUCAAAUAUAACAUAUUUUGAAUUCUGUACAAUGAGAAAUUUGAUUCGUAGUGAAGAGUGGUCAGAUUAGUCAAACAGUGAAACAGGGGAAACUUUAAGAAAAAUCUGGUAUUUAUUUGCCAAACCUAAAAUUCUGAAAAUUUUAUGGAUGAAAGAUAUAUGAGUCUAUUUUGAGGGAAAAUUAACGGCAAUUGAUUUGGAGUUUUGUAGAUCCAGUUAUAAAUAAUUUAGUGACUAUUGCUCAGGAAGAUAACUUGUAGUGAAUUUGUGAUUAUGUUGUAAACAUUGAUAAAACUUGUUAAUGAGUUGCUUAUUGUUUUCUUAUGAACUUACUAAGCGUAAAGCUUACUCCCCUUUUCUUUCCCAUAUUCCCUAGGGUUGUCAGGUUAGCUCGGGUUGGAGGCCAUCAGAGAUAUUAUCACAUUGUCAAGUCUACGCUAUCGGUGUAAGUAAAUCUUAGUGUUUCGAGUCUAUGACAUGUAUAGUGUUGUAAAGUUGAGUAAGUAAAUGAUACAAGACUAAGAUAUUGGUAAAUAUUUAAUAAUGCCUCAUGAAUAUUUUGGGCCUUGUAAGCCCGAUUAAAGGAUAAUAUACGUGUGUAUGAAAAGUUUAAAAUUGAUCAAAAAAUUUUACGGUAUGGUUUUAUAUAAAUGGAUGAGUUUAAAUUUGGUAGCACCUCGAACCCUGUUCCGGCGAGGGAUACGGGCGAAGUGUGUUACAAAAUGGGCGGAGAAUUUAAAGAUCGAGAGCAUAAUUAGACUCUUAAAAAAUAUAUAGAUAAAUCUUAGGUUUCACUUCCCAUAAAUUGUAAAGACCCCCAUCAGGUAAAAUAUUUGACCUGAAUUAUCAUUAACCGAAUUAAUUAAAAUUUUAAAAUAUUUAGUAGUUAAUUAAAA